This 403-nucleotide ribosomal RNA is filed under the name uncultured bacterium. RNAcentral describes it as "bacterial SSU rRNA". It matches the Rfam family "Bacterial small subunit ribosomal RNA", at positions 356 to 775 of the family's 1533-position model. The record is from RNAcentral.
AGGGAAUAUUGGUUAAUGUGCGAAAGCGCGAACCAGCAACGCCGCGUGUGCGAUGAAGGCCUUCGGGUCGUAAAGCACUUUUUGCAGGGAAGAGGAAGGACGGUACCUGCAGAAUAAGUCUCGGCUAACUACGUGCCGGCAGCCGCGGUAAAACGUAGGAGACGAGCGUUAUCCGGAUUUACUGGGCGUAAAGCGCGUGCAGGCGGCAUGGCAAGUUGGAUGUGAAAGCUCCCGGCUUAACUGGGAGAGGUCGUUCAAUACUGCCAGGCUUGAGAGUGGUAGAGGGAAGCGGAAUUCCGGGUGUAGUGGUGAAAUGCGUAGAUAUCCGGAGGAACACCAGUGGCGAAAGCGGCUUCCUGGCCCAUUUCUGACGCUCAGACGCGAAAGCUAGGGUAGCAAACGG